ACUCAAAGGAAUUGACGGGGGUCCGCACAAGCGGUGGAACAUGUGGUUUAAUUCGACACUACGCGAGGAACCUUACCUAGGUUUGACAUGCAUAUGAUCGCUACAGAGAUGUAGUUUUCUAGGGGUAACCCUAGACAUUUGCACAGGUGCUGCAUGGCUGUCGUCAGCUCGUGUCGUGAGAUGUUGGGUUAAGUCCUAUAACGAGCGCAACCCUUGCUAUCAGUUGCUACUUUUUAAGGCACUCUGAUAGGACUGCCCGGGAAACCGGGAGGAAGGUGGGGAUGAUGUCAAGUCCGCAUGGUCCUUAUGCCUAGGGCAACACACGUGUUACAAUGGCCAAUACAGAGGGCUGCAAAUCCGCAAGGUGGAGCUAAUCCCAGAAAGUUGGUCUAAGUUCAGAUUGAGGUCUGCAAUUCGACCUCAUGAAGUUGAAAUCGCUAGUAAUCGCGUAUCAGAACGACGCGGUGAAUACGUUCUCGGACCUUGUACACACCGCCCGU
This 500-nucleotide ribosomal RNA is filed under the name uncultured bacterium. RNAcentral describes it as "partial 16S ribosomal RNA". It matches the Rfam family "Bacterial small subunit ribosomal RNA", at positions 899 to 1397 of the family's 1533-position model. The record is from RNAcentral.